CCAAUACAAGAAAUGUCCCUUCAGUAGAGUUUAUUUAAUCAUUUUCUAGGCAAGGCCACAAAAAUAAGUACAGAAUUUUUUCCUUUGGACAUCAUGGUUUUGACCUUAAUAAAUUUGAAAGCAUUGAGAUCAUACAAAGUAUGUUCUCUAACUACAGUGAAGUAAAAUUAGAAAUCAAUAACAGGAGGAAAUUUGAGAAAUUCACAGGUAGGUGGAGUUUAAAUAAUACACUCCUAAGAAACCAAAGGGUCAGGAAGGAAAAAUAAGAAACAUUAGGAAGGACGUUGAAAUGAAUGAAGCACAUAAUACAGUUUGUAUCUGGACCAAGGAUGAGUCCUUUCUGUAGAUGGACCCAGUCACUUUAAAGUUGAAGCAACUCUGCGAUGGCUGUGGAUUUCUCAGAUCCUGGGGGGAGAUUGUGAAUUUGUGAGGAUGGUCAACAGCUCUGGAGACAAAUAACAAAGGAGAGGAUGUGUCUGGCCUGGCAGGGGCGGGGUGGAUUACUCGAGCAAAGUGACGUUGUGUAUUUCAACCAGCCCUGAGUUUUGGAGCUAGACCUGUACUCUAAGACUGCUUGGUUGGUUUUCUUCACUUUUUUUUGUUUGUCUGUUUGUUUUUUUCACCCUUUCAGGCUCCUUGAACAACAAAGUCUUGUCUCAUCCCAAAGGGACACAGUGCUCCUGCUGAGAAACCCUGCUCUAGGGGACAAUCUCAAGCACCCAGAAGGCUACAAAACUCAGCGCUCUCCUUGCCCUGGGCCUGGCUCAGUCUUCUGGAUUUGGUUUCAGACUUGGCCAACAUCCCUCUACUAUCUUCCCAGCUGGUGUUCAAGAAUAGCCCCUCUCCACUGGAUUCAGGAUCCCACACUAAACCACAGCUUCCCAUCUGGGGACUUCCCUGUUCAGCUUCCUCAGACCGUCCUCUCCCCGGUUCCUGAUGAAGGCCGUCUGCGUAGAACCUGCCUCUGGACUCAGGAAGCGCAAGCCUUUCCUUCCUUCUCGAAUCGAAUUUGAGAUGGAGCGGAUGAUGAUUGGAAAUGACUACGAUGGUGAAGCCUGGCACGUCGUGAACUUACUCUGUAUUAGGUGCGUCUCUUCUCUUAUGUAAUCCCCAAACAAGAGAGAAAGUCUGUGAAUGAGAAAACUAAAGGACAUAAAUAGCAAGCCACAUGACCAGAGGCACAAACUUAGCAAGGAAAUCCUAGACGCUCGAUUAGAACACAGAUUUUCAGCACAAAUUUUAAAUCCCCCCCCCUUUAAACAGCUUUAUUUAGACAUAAUUGAUAGCCUGGAAACUGAAAACAUUGAAAGUAUAAAAUUUGAUGUUGUAGCAUAAAUAGUCAUUUGUAAAAAUAUCACUAUGAUAAAAAUUCUGAGUGUGCAGGUCCC
This 1388-nucleotide long non-coding RNA is filed under the name Sus scrofa (pig). RNAcentral's name for it is "lncRNA (ENSSSCG00035040083.1)". Lineage: Eukaryota; Metazoa; Chordata; Mammalia; Artiodactyla; Suidae. The record is from RNAcentral.